RNAcentral lists this ribosomal RNA (450 nucleotides) under uncultured bacterium. RNAcentral's name for it is "partial 16S ribosomal RNA". It matches the Rfam family "Bacterial small subunit ribosomal RNA", at positions 338 to 795 of the family's 1533-position model. The record is from RNAcentral.
CCUACGGGUGGCUGCAGUUUCGAAUCAUUCACAAUGGGCGAAAGCCUGAUGGUGCGACGCCGCGUGAGGGAUGAAGGUCUUCGGAUUGUAAACCUCUGUCACUGGGGAAGAAACGCUUUGAGUUAAUAGUUCAAAGCCUGACUUAACCCGGAGAGGAAGCAGUGGCUAACUCUGUGCCAGCAGCCGCGGUAAUACAGAGACUGCAAGCGUUAUUCGGAUGGGCGGGGCGUAAACCGUGCGCGGGCGGUGGGAAAUCCCGGAGCUUAACUACGGAACGGCGCCUCAAACUACACGGCUAGAGCAUUGGAGAGGGAAGUGGAAUUCACGGUGUAGCAGUGAAAUGCGUAGAUAUCGUGAGGAACACCAGUGGCGAAGGCGACUUCCUGGACAAUUGCUGACGCUCAGGCACGAAAGCGUGGGGAGCAAAAGGGAUUAGAUACCCGAGUAGUC